RNAcentral lists this ribosomal RNA (492 nucleotides) under uncultured bacterium. RNAcentral's name for it is "partial 16S ribosomal RNA". It matches the Rfam family "Bacterial small subunit ribosomal RNA", at positions 29 to 507 of the family's 1533-position model. The record is from RNAcentral.
AGUGAACGCCGGCGGUAGGCCUAACACAUGCAAGUCGAACGGCAGCACAGUAAGAGCUUGCUCUUACGGGUGGCGAGUGGCGGACGGGUGAGGAAUACAUCGGAAUCUACUUUUUCGUGGGGGAUAACGUAGGGAAACUUACGCUAAUACCGCAUACGACCUACGGGUGAAAGCAGGGGAUCUUCGGACCUUGCGCGAUUGAAUGAGCCGAUGUCGGAUUAGCUAGUUGGCGGGGUAAAGGCCCACCAAGGCGACGAUCCGUAGCUGGUCUGAGAGGAUGAUCAGCCACACUGGAACUGAGACACGGUCCAGACUCCUACGGGAGGCAGCAGUGGGGAAUAUUGGACAAUGGGCGCAAGCCUGAUCCAGCCAUACCGCGUGGGUGAAGAAGGCCUUCGGGUUGUAAAGCCCUUUUGUUGGGAAAGAAAAGCAGCAGGUUAAUACCCCGCUGUUCUGACGGUACCCAAAUAAUAAGCACCGGCUAACUUCGUG